CGCACAUUGCGCCCUUUGGUAUUCCAUGGGGCAUGCCUGUUCGAGCGUCAUUUAAUCCUCAAGCUCAGCUUGGUUUUGGGAGCAGCCUGUAGGCACUCCUGUAACUUGUUGGCGGAACUGCCUAGCUUCAAGCGUAGCAAAACUACUCGCUUUGUUGAUUGGUAGAUUCUAGCCUUGUUUUACUUUUUAUUAGACCUCGGAUCAGGUAGGGAUACCCGCUGAACUUAA
RNAcentral lists this unclassified non-coding RNA (228 nucleotides) under Pleosporales sp. RNAcentral's name for it is "partial contains 5.8S ribosomal RNA, internal transcribed spacer 2, and large subunit ribosomal RNA". The record is from RNAcentral. Lineage: Eukaryota; Fungi; Ascomycota; Dothideomycetes; Pleosporales.